GACGAACGCUGGCGGCGUGCCUAAUACAUGCAAGUAGAACGCUGAAGAGAGGAGCUUGCUCUUCUUGGAUGAGUUGCGAACGGGUGAGUAACGCGUAGGUAACCUGCCUUGUAGCGGGGGAUAACUAUUGGAAACGAUAGCUAAUACCGCAUAACAAUGGAUGACACAUGUCAUUUAUUUGAAAGGGGCAAUUGCUCCACUACAAGAUGGACCUGCGUUGUAUUAGCUAGUAGGUGAGGUAAUGGCUCACCUAGGCGACGAUACAUAGCCGACCUGAGAGGGUGAUCGGCCACACUGGGAAUGGGACAAGGCCCAGACCCCCACGGGAGGCAGCCGUAGGGAAUCUUCGGCAAUGGGGGCAACCCUGACCGAGCAACGCCGCGUGGGUGAAGAAGGGUUUCGGAUCGUAAAGCUCUGUUGUAAGUCAAGAACGGGUGUGAGAGUGGAAAGUUCACACUGUGACGGUAGCUUACCAGAAAGGGACGGCUAACUACGUG
Molecule: ribosomal RNA, 497 nt
Filed under: uncultured bacterium
Lineage: Bacteria
Description: partial 16S ribosomal RNA
Rfam family: Bacterial small subunit ribosomal RNA
Source: RNAcentral